This is a long non-coding RNA of Esox lucius (northern pike), 485 nucleotides long. Lineage: Eukaryota; Metazoa; Chordata; Actinopteri; Esociformes; Esocidae. The record is from Ensembl.
CCUAAAAUGAACAAUUUUAAUCGUAUUUGCAAGAUAAUUUGCAAGGCUCCAGCUAGCAAGUUGGAUAAAGGAUUUAAGAUGUAUUUAUCGACAUACAUAUACGAUAGCAAAGUGAUUUUCAUUAAAUUACGUCUAGUGAAGUUGGUUCGGGGACAACGCUGAAGUCAUGAUCCAGACGAUGAAUCUCAAAUCGCAUACUACUUGGAGUCAUUACUACAAAUCCACACAAGUCAACACAGUGCAAUUUAGCAAAAUGGUACAAUUGCAUUAACUGGGGUCCAGCCAUUGGCAGAUUCUGUACCAACCUACAGGAAGCCACUACAGAAGAUGAAGUCAUUCAAGGAACCCCAAGAGCAAAGCUGGAUGCCUGAGCAAAGACCCCAUGUCCUCUGGCUUCAACCAUAGUUGGCAUGUCAGAAUUCACCCAUACACUGUUGUCUUCAAUAAAAGUUAUUCAAACCAGCUUCUCCACAUUCUCAAUACCA